AUUGAACGCUGGCGGCAGGCCUAACACAUGCAAGUCGAGCGGAUGAAGGGAGCUUGCUCCUGGAUUCAGCGGCGGACGGGUGAGUAAUGCCUAGGAAUCUGCCUGGUAGUGGGGAUAACGUCCGGAAACGGGCGCUAAUACCGCAUACGUCCUGAGGGAGAAAGUGGGGGAUCUUCGGACCUCACGCUAUCAGAUGAGCCUAGGUCGGAUUAGCUAGUUGGUGGGGUAAGGCCUACCAAGGCGACGAUCCGUAACUGGUCUGAGAGGAUGAUCAGUCACACUGGAACUGAGACACGGUCCAGACUCCUACGGGAGGCAGCAGUGGGGAAUAUUGGACAAUGGGCGAAAGCCUGAUCCAGCCAUGCCGCGUGUGUGAAGAAGGUCUUCGGAUUGUAAAGCACUUUAAGUUGGGAGGAAGGGCAGUAAGUUAAUACCUUGCUGUUUUGACGUUACCAACAGAAUAAGCACCGGCUAACUUCGUG
Molecule: ribosomal RNA, 482 nt
Filed under: uncultured bacterium
Lineage: Bacteria
Description: partial 16S ribosomal RNA
Rfam family: Bacterial small subunit ribosomal RNA
Source: RNAcentral